RNAcentral lists this long non-coding RNA (218 nucleotides) under Pan troglodytes (chimpanzee). Its description in RNAcentral is "long non-coding RNA NONPTRT002186". The record is from RNAcentral. Lineage: Eukaryota; Metazoa; Chordata; Mammalia; Primates; Hominidae.
GCAUUUCUACCAAGUGGGUGUUUUAAAAUAAGCGUAAUGAUGCAAAACUAUUUAAUAGGUCUGUUUUAUCAUUUUGAUUCUGCCUCAAUGCCAUACCAUUGAUUCCUUCCUUUGUUUUAAGCAUUUACUAUUCUAGGUGCAAGGAAUACAUGAGUGAACAUGGCAGACAAUAAACAUACACAGUGCAUAACUAAUGCUAACUAUCACUAGUUAUCACU